Molecule: ribosomal RNA, 447 nt
Filed under: uncultured bacterium
Lineage: Bacteria
Description: bacterial SSU rRNA
Rfam family: Bacterial small subunit ribosomal RNA
Source: RNAcentral
CCAGACUCCUACGGGAGGCAGCAGUGGGGAAUAUUGCACAAUGGGGGGAACCCUGAUGCAGCAACGCCGCGUGGGUGAAGAAGUAUUUCGGUAUGUAAAGCUCUAUCAGCAGGGAAGAAGAAAUGACGGUACCUGACUAAGAAGCCCCGGCUAACUACGUGCCAGCAGCCGCGGUAAUACGUAGGGGGCAAGCGUUAUCCGGAUUUACUGGGUGUAAAGGGAGCGCAGGCGGUGAGGCAAGUCUGAUGUGAAAACCCGGGGCUCAACUCCGGGACUGCGUUGGAAACUGUCUUACUUGAGUACCGGAGAGGUAAGUGGAAUUCCUAGUGUAGCGGUGAAAUGCGUAGAUAUUAGGAGGAACACCAGUGGCGAAGGCGGCUUACUGGACGGUAACUGACGCUGAGGCUCGAAAGCGUGGGGAGCAAACAGGAUUAGAUACCCCAGUAU